AAAUUUAAAAUAGCACCAAGUGCUGGUUUUCCAGAUGUUUUCAGCUUGUGAAAAUACAUUGAGCUGUGUGUAUGCUCAUUUGCUUAUGAAUACUAUACUUAAUAAUCAGCUGGGGAGCUUGUGAGCAGUGCAGAUUCCUAGACCCCACUCAGGAGAUUCUGACAUGGUAAGUCUGAGAUGAGGUCCAUGUUUAACAUUUUGAACAAGCACCCCAGCUGAUUCUGACACAGGAGGUUCUGAUCACGUUUUAAGAAACUCUGUCCUUGUUCUUGGGGGAAGGAAGGAAACAGGGCUGGCAGCUCCAACUCUGAGCUGGUACUAAGAAGAGUUUUGGUUUCUGACCCCUUUGUCUCCAGAUUGCAGGAUACCUAUAUGGGGUGAGCCCACCAGAUAACCCCCAGGUGAAGGAGAUCCGCUGCAUUGUGAUGGUGCCGCAGUGGGGCACUCACCAGACCGUGCACCUGCCUGGCCAGCUGCCCCAGCAUGAGUACCUCAAGGAGAUGGAACCCUUAGGUUGGAUCCACACUCAGCCCAAUGAGUCCCCGCAGCUGUCACCCCAGGAUGUCACCACCCACGCCAAGAUCAUGGCUGACAACCCAUCUUGGGAUGGCGAGAAGACCAUUAUCAUCACAUGCAGCUUCACACCAGGCUCCUGCACACUGACGGCCUACAAGCUGACCCCCAGUGGCUAUGAAUGGGGCCGCCAGAACACAGACAAGGGCAACAACCCCAAGGGCUACCUGCCUUCACACUACGAGAGGGUGCAGAUGCUGCUGUCGGACCGCUUCCUUGGCUUCUUCAUGGUCCCUGCCCAGUCCUCGUGGAACUACAACUUUAUGGGUGUUCGGCAUGACCCCAACAUGAAAUAUGAGCUGCAGCUGGCGAACCCCAAAGAGUUCUACCACGAGGUGCACAGGCCCUCCCACUUCCUCAACUUUGCUCUCCUGCAGGAGGGGG
RNAcentral lists this small RNA (957 nucleotides) under Pongo abelii (Sumatran orangutan). Its description in RNAcentral is "retained intron". Lineage: Eukaryota; Metazoa; Chordata; Mammalia; Primates; Hominidae. The record is from RNAcentral.